Long non-coding RNA from Topomyia yanbarensis, 866 nucleotides. RefSeq lists it as uncharacterized. The record is from RefSeq and is a predicted model, not a curated record. NCBI's taxonomy places the organism in Eukaryota, Metazoa, Arthropoda, Insecta, Diptera, Culicidae. The transcript is spliced from 3 exons.
GGAAGAGGCAAGAGUGGUUCGUCAUUUGUUCGCGCCGUGAUGUGUUCAGCGUGAAUAGCAAUUGAUAGUGCAACCCAAGUAGCUUGGCGAUUCUUGUGUGCGCGCCGAAGAAGAUUUUAAGGUUCGUGGCAGCCGUCGAACGUCCAAAGCAUCACAUCUCCUCGUUGGUAACCACUCUUGACCCCACAGUUCGUCUCAAGGUUGGUCCCGGUGGUACACGUGGCCGGAAGAAGGCAACAUCCGUCAAAUCGCGCCUUGGCAGGACCAUUCGACUACCGAAACGCAGUACCAGCACACCCAGUACAUUUUCCGGUGACGACCGGGAGAUUUGGCGGCACUACCCAGCCAGCAGUCCACGAAUCGGCGGUGAAGACUAUCGUCGUACAUUAGGCGCGAUCAGGAGUGAUCGCACGUAGUAGCAGCAGCAGUAGAAGGAAUCGCCGUCUCCCGCCCAACAUCAACACGUAAACCCUAGGUCGUGAGUAAAAUGAAAUUUAUGUUUGUGAUGUCCAUGCGCAUGGGGUCACCAUAGACGGCCGUACCCUACCGUCAAAUUCUGCCAUGCGUGGCUCGAUCAUAUAGAUUGCCGUUCAAUUAUCACAGCAUCGAACAAGCACACCCCGAGAGCACGCACAAUAGAUAGUAGAGCGUCGCUCUAGAGAUAGGAGAGGGAACACGAGCAAAUGGGAAGGGAAAACUGCCUAGCUAGGUCGAAAUGAAUCUCAGAAUGCGGAAAGUGAAUAAUUGUAAAUAAAUGUAUUGAUGUAGCGAAAAUGUGCUGUUUGCGAUAUAGCAGAAAAUGUAUCCCGUAGGAUAAAUGUACUGAUUGUCGUCUUGGUGAAGUUUUUCAGUUCUAGUCAAAUCGU